CCAUUGGUCUACUUUUGGCAUUCAGAGGAAAUCACAGAUACCUUGCCUGCACCACCUUAAGAAUUACAUUCGGACAACGUGCUAUACUAUAUAGUAACAUAUUAGUCUACAAUGAGUUUGAACCCAAGACUUUCAUGUAAUUUUAUCUCAGCGUCCCGUCACUAAAUCUCCAUGCCACAAAUUUACUCACAGUGACACAGUAGACUUGGAUAAAGCUCUUGGCUACCUAUCAUAGGGAUCGAGUUCGAGUCCCGAUUAGAACUGAGUUGUGUUUACUGAGUGCCUAAAGACUGCACGGAAACCAUCUUCUAGAUAUCCCCUCCCCCCCCC
Biomphalaria pfeifferi is the source of this 330-nucleotide non-coding RNA. NCBI's taxonomy places the organism in Eukaryota, Metazoa, Mollusca, Gastropoda, Planorbidae. The record is from the annotation of a GenBank genome assembly.